UACAUGUGGGGCUAGCGUUGCUCGGAAUCACUGGGCGUAAAGCGCACGUAGGCGGCUUUCUAAGUCAGGGGUGAAAUCCUGGAGCUCAACUCCAGAACUGCCUUUGAUACUGGAGAGCUUGAGUCCGGAAGAGGAGAGUGGAAUUCCCGGUGUAGCGGUGAAAUGCGCAGAUAUCGGGAAGAACACCCGUGGCGAAGGCGGCUCUCUGGGACGGUACUGACGCUGAGACGCGAAAGCGUGGGGAGCGAACAGG
RNAcentral lists this ribosomal RNA (253 nucleotides) under uncultured bacterium. RNAcentral describes it as "partial 16S ribosomal RNA". It matches the Rfam family "Bacterial small subunit ribosomal RNA", at positions 524 to 776 of the family's 1533-position model. The record is from RNAcentral.